RNAcentral lists this ribosomal RNA (399 nucleotides) under uncultured Alphaproteobacteria bacterium. RNAcentral's name for it is "bacterial SSU rRNA". It matches the Rfam family "Bacterial small subunit ribosomal RNA", at positions 9 to 438 of the family's 1533-position model. Lineage: Bacteria; Pseudomonadati; Pseudomonadota; Alphaproteobacteria. The record is from RNAcentral.
GAGUUUGAUCGUGGCUCAGAGCGAACGCUGGCGGCAGGCCUAAUACAUGCAAGUCGAGCGCACCUUCGGGUGAGCGGCGGACGGGUGAGUAACGCGUGGGAACGUGCCCUAAGGUACGGAACAACUGAGGGAAACUUCAGCUAAUACCGUAUGUGCCCUUCGGGGGAAAGAUUUAUCGCCUUAGGAGCGGCCCGCGUUGGAUUAGCUAGUUGGUGGGGUAAAGACCCACCAAGGCUACGAUCCAUAGCUGGUCUGAGAGGAUGAUCAGCCACACCGGGACUGAGACACGGCCCAGACUCCUACGGGAGGCAGCAGUAGGGAAUCUUGCGCAAUGGGCGAAAGCCUGACGCAGCCAUGCCGCGUGAAUGAUGAAGGUCUUAGGAUUGUAAAAUUACUUUC